CCUACGGGGGGCAGCAGUAGGGAAUAUUGCUCAAUGGGGGAAACCCUGAAGCAGCAACGCCGCGUGGAGGAUGAAGGUUUUCGGAUUGUAAACUCCUUUUGUUAGAGAAGAUAAUGACGGUAUCUAACGAAUAAGCACCGGCUAACUCCGUGCCAGCAGCCGCGGGAAUACGGAGGGUGCAAGCGUUACUCGGAAUCACUGGGCGUAAAGAGCGCGGAGGCGGGAUAGCAAGUCAGAUGUGAAAUCCUAUGGCUUAACCAUAGAACUGCAUUUGAAACUGUUAUUCUAGAGUAUGGGAGAGGUAGGUGGAAUGCUUGGUGUAGGGGUAAAAUCCGUAGAGAUCAAGAGGAAUACUCAUUGCGAAGGCGACCUGCUAGAACAUAACUGACGCUGAUGCGCGAAAGCGUGGGGAGCAAACAGGAUUAGAUACCCCAGUAGUC
Molecule: ribosomal RNA, 440 nt
Filed under: uncultured bacterium
Lineage: Bacteria
Description: partial 16S ribosomal RNA
Rfam family: Bacterial small subunit ribosomal RNA
Source: RNAcentral